CUUUUUGUUUCCACAUAUUUCUGUUCCUACUACUCUAAAACUAAACAGGUAUGAGUGCAUGCUGAUACGGACCUAUCCUGCGUACAUUUACCACACGACUGGUUCUAAGGGUGACCCUUUGGUGUGACUUCUGCAACAGUGCAGCGCAUUGACGAUUCGGGAGUGGUUGCUGUGCUCGUAGCUGGACAUCAGUGUUGGAUCCCAAGAACUGGACGCAUCGUCAUCACAUCGCACGCUAACUCUACAUCAUCUGAGAGACUUGUGCUUUCAUCUACCAGCUGAUAUAUAGAUUUACAAAUCCCUACAUCAAGAUGCCUCACAAGAUUAUUGAUCAAAAAGAUUAUUUUACUCCUAUUGCUGUCAGCAAUGAUGAAGAAAUGUAUGAAUUAGAGGUGAAGGGUAAGGAAAGAUACGAGAUGUUGAAAAAGAUCAACGAAAGUUUGGAAAUUUGCGACAUGAUACCCCAAUCUGAUAAGGACAAAUAUCUUAAGAAGCUACCCAUUAAGAAGAGAAAGUAUGAUGAUAAGUUUAGAGAUGGAAAGAAGGGUAUGCUGUAGUAAGUCCUCGACCCAGCAAAAGUCCAGGUGAGGUCAGGGGUCGGAUGCUUUUAGUGCUCCUCGUCUGAUCAGCUUGGUGAAGAAUUCCUGUCAACUUAACGCGGCUGGGGUUAAAGAGGUAUCUACAGUCUACCUGAAAAGAUUCAUUCACUUUUAUAUUUCCUUUAUGCUUACACGAUUAAGUGCUUAUCUGAAAUGUUUUACUUACUCAUUUUUCUGCAUAUGUAUUUGUUACCUUUGACUAUUAUGUAUCUUAUUUUCAAGGGAAAGGAUUUUGGGUGCGAGUCUUUUUGUCAAGACUCGAGUGGGGGACUGAUGUAACCCAAAUUCUGACUUCUGUCAUGUGUGCAUUUGCUACGUGCUUAAAAGUACAGGACAGCCUGUGCUGAAGGCCUCAGCUGAACUUUAGACUUAGAAGACUUCUAUAUCAAUAUGGAAAUAAGAAAAGUUAAAGAUAAAAGAUUUCCACGAAAUGUUUAUACUUCUAAAAACAGCAUGAUUCAGAGACGUUUAUAUUCCAUCACACGUCUGUUAUUUGGAGUCAUUCGAACCCCCCCCCCCUGUGGGUUCUUAACAAAAGAGAACCAGACGAUUAAUCUUCUGAGGUAGGACAGUUGGACUUUGAACAUACAAUCUGCUGACCUUACGAAAUAGGGAACUGAAAUUAGGCUGCAAGGGCUAGGAUGUAUUUUCGGAGAAGGAUGACGACUGUUUUGAUAUCUGUUUGAGACGUGGCUGCAGAGACGUGGCAUGGGUUUGAUACAGAUUUGCAGGGCUAUAAGAGGAGGCAAAUUCACCCCUCCUUUGGGCUCUCUCGCUCAGACUGAGUUCAGCCUAGACCCUUCUAGCUGGACUUAGUCUUUUCUCACCUUCUUUAUCUUUGAUUCCGGGCUCACUUGAAUACUUUGAACUUCUCUCAGUUUUGGAGGCACCCGCUGGAGAUCGUUGAAGUUUUCAUUUCAUUAAGUUUUGAUGCAACGCAAGACAAAAUAAAGAGAGGUCCUGCACCUCCUCCAGUAUUCCAGUAUCCUCUUCGGAGAGAAAGAGAGAGCGGCACAGGCAAUUGUGACCCAGCUCGAGACAGGGAUUGUGGUAUGAGUGCAUGCUGAUACGGAACCUAUCCUGCGUACAUUUACCACACGACUGGUUCUAAGGGUGACCCUUUGGUGUGACUUCUGCAACAGUGCAGCUCAUCGACGAUUCGGGAGUGGUUGCUGUGCUCGUAGCUGGACAUCUGUGUUUGAUCCCAAGAACUGGACGCAUCGUCAUCACAUCGCACGCUAACUCUACAUCAUCUGAGAGACUUGUGCUUUCAUCUACCAGCUGAUAUAUAGAUUUACAAAUCCCUACAUCAAGAUGCCUCACAAGAUUAUUGAUCAAAAAGAUUCUUUUACUCCUAUUGCUGUCAGCAAUGAUGAAGAAAUGUAUGAAUUAGAGGUGAAGGGUAAGGAAAGAUACGAGAUGUUGAAAAAGAUCAACGAAAGUUUGGAAAUUUGCGACAUGAUACCCCAAUCUGAUAAGGACAAAUAUCUUAAGAAGCUACCCAUUAAGAAGAGAAAGUAUGAUGAUAAGUUUAGAGAUGGAAAGAAGGGUAUGCUGUAGUAAGUCCUCGACCCAGCAAAAGUCCAGGUGAGGUCAGGGGUCGGAUGCUUUUAGUGCUCCUCGUCUGAUCAGCUUGGUGAAGAAUUCCUGUCAACUUAACGCGGCUGGGGUUAAAGAGGUAUCUACAGUCUACCUGAAAAGAUUCAUUCACUUUUAUAUUUCCUUUAUGCUUACACGAUUAAGUGCUUAUCUGAAAUGUUUUACUUACUCAUUUUUCUGCAUAUGUAUUUGUUACCUUUGACUAUUAUUUAUCUUAUUUUCAAGGGAAAGGAUUUUGGGUGCGAGUCUUUUUGUCAAGACUCGAGUGGGGGACUGAUGUAACCCAAAUUUUGACUUCUGUCAUGUGUGCAUUUGCUACGUGCUUAAAAGUACAGGACAGCCUGUGCUGAAGGCCUCAGCUGAACUUUAGACUUAGAAGACUUCUAUAUCAAUAUGGAAAUAAGAAAAGUUAAAGAUAAAAGAUUUCCACGAAAUGUUUAUACUUCUAAAAACAGCAUGAUUCAGAGACGUUUAUAUUCCAUCACACGUCUGUUAUUUGGAGUCAUUCGAACCCCCCCCCCUGUGGGUUCUUAACAAAAGAGAACCAGACGAUUAAUCUUCUGAGGUAGGACAGUUGGACUUUGAACAUACAAUCUGCUGACCUUACGAAAUAGGGAACUGAAAUUAGGCUGCAAGGGCUAGGAUGUAUUUUCGGAGAAAGAUGACGAAGGUUUUGAUAUCUGUCUGAGACGUGGCUGCAGAGACGUGGCAUGAGUUUGAUACAGAUUGGCAGGGCUAUAAGAGGAGGCAAAUUCACCCCUCCUCUCGCUCUCUCUCUCUCUCUCGCUCAGACUGAGUUCAGCCUAGACCCUUCUAGCUGGACUUAGUCUUUUCUCACCUUCUUUAUCUUUGAUUCCGGGCUCACUUGAAUACUUUGAACUUCUCUCAGGUUUUAUUCAUCUCAGAUAUGAUUAUUAUUAUAUUACUUGUUAUUAUAUGAAUACUAUUAUAACUUUUGACUUUUGAUAUACAGGGUAUUGUUGUAUACUUUGUAUUAUUAUUAUUUUUAACAUCUUGAUUACUUUUGAAUAUUAUAAUGCAUUUUGUAUUACUUUUAAUUGGGCAACAUCCAUCAUACAUGGAUUGCUUUUAAAACUAUAUUAAUUUUGGGAUUUGUAUUUUCUAUAUUUGAAGCUGAUUUUAAUACUUACUAAUCUGUUUGCAAGUUAUGAGUUGUAUUCUCAUUUCCUAUAUUCUUUGAAUAAAUUUGCAUACUAAAAUACCA
Molecule: long non-coding RNA, 3423 nt
Organism: Carassius gibelio (silver crucian carp)
Lineage: Eukaryota; Metazoa; Chordata; Actinopteri; Cypriniformes; Cyprinidae
Exons: 4
Source: RefSeq, a predicted model, not a curated record